RNAcentral lists this ribosomal RNA (520 nucleotides) under uncultured Acidobacteriota bacterium. Its description in RNAcentral is "bacterial SSU rRNA". It matches the Rfam family "Bacterial small subunit ribosomal RNA", at positions 355 to 864 of the family's 1533-position model. Lineage: Bacteria; Pseudomonadati; Acidobacteriota. The record is from RNAcentral.
UGGGGAAUAUUGGACAAUGGGCGCAAGCCUGAUCCAGCAACGCCGCGUGGAGGACGAAGGUCUUCGGAUCGUAAACUCCUGUCAGGUGGGACGAAGGUAAGGGGGUGAAUAAGCCUCUUGCUUGACGGUACUACCAGAGGAAGCCUCGGCUAACUCCGUGCCAGCAGCCGCGGUAAUACGGAGGGGGCGAGCGUUAUUCGGAAUUAUUGGGCGUAAAGGGCGCGUAGGCGGCUUGAUAAGUCAAAGGUGAAAUCCCUCGGCUCAACUGAGGAACUGCCUUUGAAACUGUCUGGCUUGAGGCCGGGAGGGGGUAGCGGGAAUUCCCAGUGUAGCGGUGAAAUGCGUAGAUACUGGGAGGAACACCGGUGGCGAAGGCGGCUACCUGGACCGGUUCUGACGCUGAUGCGCGAAAGCGUGGGUAGCAAACAGGAUUAGAUACCCUGGUAGUCCACGCUGUAAACGAUGGGUGCUCGGUGUCGCGGGUAUCGACCCCUGCGGUGCCUUAGCUAACGCGUUAACG